GAUGAACGCUGGCGGCGUGCCUAAUACAUGCAAGUCGAGCGAACAGACGAGGAGCUUGCUCCUCUGACGUUAGCGGCGGACGGGUGAGUAACACGUGGAUAACCUACCUAUAAGACUGGGAUAACUUCGGGAAACCGGAGCUAAUACCGGAUAAUAUAUUGAACCGCAUGGUUCAAUAGUGAAAGACGGUUUUGCUGUCACUUAUAGAUGGAUCCGCGCCGCAUUAGCUAGUUGGUAAGGUAACGGCUUACCAAGGCGACGAUGCGUAGCCGACCUGAGAGGGUGGUCGGCCAAACUGGAACGGAGACACGGUCCAGACUCCUACGGGAGGCAGCAGUAGGGAAUCUUCCGCAAUGGGCGAAAGCCUGACGGAGCAACGCCGCGUGAGUGAUGAAGGUCUUCGGAUCGUAAAACUCUGUUAUUAGGGAAGAACAAAUGUGUAAGUAACUAUGCACGUCUUGACGGUACCUAAUCAGAAAGCCACGGCUAACUACGUG
This 497-nucleotide ribosomal RNA is filed under the name uncultured bacterium. RNAcentral's name for it is "partial 16S ribosomal RNA". It matches the Rfam family "Bacterial small subunit ribosomal RNA", at positions 28 to 507 of the family's 1533-position model. The record is from RNAcentral.